Molecule: long non-coding RNA, 2140 nt
Filed under: Homo sapiens (human)
Lineage: Eukaryota; Metazoa; Chordata; Mammalia; Primates; Hominidae
Description: non-protein coding lnc-BET1-2:1
Source: RNAcentral
UUUGUAGGUGUUCACACCUUGUUUACCUUUUCUACUGCCUCUAAAUAUGGUCACCCCAGCCCUUCUCUCUAGCCCAUGGUCCUGACUGAAUAUUAGAGUCUCCUGGGAAAUACUGAAAAAUAUGACAUCUGGGCUCCCCAUAAGACCACUUAUAUCAAAAUCUUUAGGAGUAUGACCCAGCAUUAAUAUUUUUAAAAGCUACCCAGCUAAGUUUCAACACACUUCCUGCUUCCAGUGAUCAGAACCAUAUAGUAAAAGUUCUCUCAAUAUUACAUUUAUUUUGCCUCAAAUUUAUUUAGGUGUUGUCAUCUUUUUUUCUCUGUGAUCUUGGAGGAAAACUGUCCCAUCUUCUUUGGAAGAUAGUACCUCUAUGUCUACUCCUGAUUCCACAACCCAUGCCUCCAUCUGCAAACUUGCUAUAUUAUUACUAUUCUUUCUCAUUUUAUCUUCUCCCAUCCUUGGCUGAAAAACUGCUUUUCAUUAAGGAAAACUUCUCUUUACUUCCUCUGCAGGUAUCAGUUCUGUUUCUUCUUUAUCUUGACCAUUAAAUUUCUUCCUACAUUCUCACAUAUUGUUUUCAUAAUUCAUGUUUCAGUUGAGGCUUCAUGUCCAACUGCAGUGACACUGUUCACUCAAGACCACUGGUGACUCCCCAGGGUUCAGAUGCUGUGACUCAUUCCAGUCCUGGUUCACCCCAUUCUUUCUGCACUAUUUGACAGUGCCGCCCUUCUCGUCCUCCUGAGACUGUAUCCUAGCUCUCUCAUCUUAGGUGAAAAUGUUCCCCUUGCCUCCCUAUACCAGUCUCCCAAAGUUCACUCAUAUUUCAAAUCUCAUUUCAGACUUCUCAUGCAUGAAACUCUUAUGUUUUAGAAUUAACCUAUACUCAUAUUAACAGUAAUCCCUCCCUUUAUAAUUAAUCAUUUUAGGUAUUCUAAAUAUUGCCUUAGAAACACUUACAUCUCAUUUGGUAACAAAACUUUGAGGAAAAAAAUGCCAUAAAGCCAAGAGGUCUGGGAGAAGCAUUUGGAUGUGAAGAGUAAGGAAGGAGUAGGGGUCAAUGGUGUUUCCUAGGUGUCUAGCUUCAACAGAUGACCUUUGACAAGAAGCAUGUUAGGGGAGCUAGAGAUAAAAAUCAUUACAUUUUAUAGCAUGCUGUAUGAGAUAUAGCUGUGUACCAUUGGCAUGGACUCAUAAGAGUGACAAAAACAUAAAAGUUUUUGUUGUAGUUGGGGCCACGCAAGUAGGUCUAUUUCUCUAUUUAAAGCAUUCAAAGUAAGAAAAGGUCAAGGAGAAAAGUCUGCAAACCAGUAUUUGAGAAUCAGACAAAAGAAGAGAUUCCAACUUCUAUUUAGAUAAAACUCAUAUAAUGGAUAAAAUCAAAUGCUUUGAAAUAUUUGAUACCAUGUUGAUAGAUUACAACUUUCAUUAUAUGUAUCUUGUAUACAAAGCAGGGCACAGCAUCAUAAAAUGAAAUUAAAUCAAUCUAGCAGGAGCUGCAUUCCUCAGGGAUUCACUCUAGUGUCCCUACGACCACCCCAUCCCCAAGAAUCUUUGCCUUGUGGCUCUGCCUGUGAAAUUUGAAGUUUUCUAUUUCAUCCAAUGGAAGCUAGAAUUUUUAAAUAUUUGGUUCUGUCUCUUAGGCCCUUAAGCUCAAGGAUAGCAAGUACUAGGAGCAUGAAGCACCUGUUGAAAAUAUUACAUGUUUGCUGGAGAAUUCUUGCAAGGUAACAACAACAACAAUAACAACUGCUAUAGGGAAACUUGCAGAAGAGAUCAUGCGUUUCUGUAAAUACCUGUAACACUUCUUGCUACAAUGUGUUAUAUAAAAUAAGUAGAAACUCUUAAAAAUACAUAAGUCAUUUUUCAUUAUUAUCUUACAUCAUGCCAGGAACCCCAUCUACUCCUCUGUGUUCCUUGAGUGCACUCAGUUUCGUUUUCAGCAGAAGUUGUGUCAUACACUCACUGUGCAAAGCUGACAGUCCCUAACAUCAUUUGUUUUGAUGAGGGUUAAAGAAAGGGUAUUGUUGUUUCAUAAAAACAAUGUUGAAUAAAUUUAUAAAUAACUUUGUAAUGAUGAAUUGUUUAUACACUGCUGUUGAAUUACAUGCGGGCAAAACAUCAAUAAAAUUUCUAAAAAUUC